Molecule: long non-coding RNA, 1434 nt
Filed under: Medicago truncatula (barrel medic)
Lineage: Eukaryota; Viridiplantae; Streptophyta; Magnoliopsida; Fabales; Fabaceae
Description: long non-coding RNA (MTRU_LNC001343)
Source: RNAcentral
CAAAGACAUCCAUAUUAAUUGUUCCAGCGAAAAUACAAAAUAUAGGGAUAUGCACAAGGUACUAUACUCCCCUGUUCAAUUGUACCAUCCAAUUGAUACUAUAUGUCAAUGCAUCGAUACUAAGUUAUAAUUUUCGACUUUGCAUUUAAUCACCAUUCUCUUUAUUUCUUUUACUAUCAUAUUUUCUUAAUCCGUAUGAAAUGAUCAAAUAAAAUAGUUAUUAUGUGAUAACAAAUUUGUUAAUAAAAGUAGCUAGUAUUUCUUGCUUCUGAAUUUCUCAACCUGCAUGUAGUGUUGGCUAGUGUCUUAAAAUUGCAGGGCUUCCCCAUGUGGUCCUGCCUAAUUAAUACAAAAAUUGUAAUCGGACAAACAUCUACAUCUCAUGUGUAUACCACUAUAUUGGUCUUACCUUGCCUUCGUCUUGCUUCUUUUUACCAUGUUUCCAAGCCACAUAAAAUUAUCUUUCAAAAUUAAUUAAAUAUCCGUAUACGGCCAUGUCCUGAAUUUUUUGUGAUCCGUCUUUAUGUGUGUUUUUCUUAAUGCCAAACAAUACACUACAGUACUACUAAUGAAUCCUAACACCCAAGCUAAAUUAAUGCCGUGAUAAUUUUUUUGUGUAUAAUGGAGACAAUGAUAUUUGAAUCUGUGUAACUUCUACGCAUAUUACUUAAACCUCUCAUAGCUUUUCUAAUUCUGUGAUUCAACUACGCUAAUUUAUUAUUCUCAUUGUUGCUUUGGCAUAAUCAGAGUUGAACAAUUCUUUGCAUUUAUAUAUAUUCUUUCCUAAUAUUUCAUCCCAUCAUUUUUUUUUAUGUGAAAAUCAUUUGGAUCUGGAAUCAUCAAGAUUAGGGUGGACACACACAUGUUUUUGUUGGAUAUUGGAUACUUACUAAUUGAAUCAACCUUCAAUGACAUUAUUAAUUGCAUGGUUAAACUGACAUCUAUAUCAAAAUAUUUUCUGCAUAUUUAAAUUCAAUUUCACAUGUAAUGUAAGGAUUAUACAUUAACAGUAGUUUUCAUUUGUGCAGGUAUAGUUGUGUUGACGUAAUAUUUCUCUAUUUCUAUAUGGGGAACUAGUUAAGUGGAUGUCACCUUCCUUGCAUAGACUCUUCAUGUUCUGCGAAUGAGAUUGCUUGGUGGAAGAGAUGGAAAAGGCCAACAAAUUUUUCUGUUUUUCAACCCAAGGGAUAAUCUUUAAAGUUGAUUGUGACUUAACCUUUCACUUGGCACAUGAAAGUCCAUGUUAUCUCUCCCCACAAAUCAUCUCAUCAAGACAACACAUUGUAAGAUAAAGGGCCCUGUGAUAUCAUGAUAUCCUCUCUUCACAUGAAGAUGCUAACCUCUACUCUAUCCAGCUAGAUUAGUCUUCUGUUGUUUGAAAUUUUAAUUGAUAUUAGUAAUUUUGUGUGGUUUCUAAAAUAUUCUUCAGAUCAG